AAGAAGCUACGCUACUUUGGCUAGCCCUGUGGUGUUGGCUGCUCCCUUGGUGCCAGCUCCCUCACGAAACUUGAGCGUGGAUCAUUGGUGACAGCUAUGUCCGGCGUGGUGUCCAGAGAGCUGCAGAGACCUUGGGAAGUACCCUCAGCAUGCCGGGCGUCCGUGUCUGCUGGUUUGGCUGGGGUGGACUGCAGUGGAGAGGCCUUCUCUCCUUCUUUUCCCACUCCCUGCGAGGAAGAGCAGCACCAGAUGUCCUCAUCAUCCACUGUGGCGGCAGUGACAUGGCGAAGGUCAGCAGUGUCAAGAAGCUGGUCAGCAUGAUGAAGGAGGACCUGCACCAGCUUCACCUCCAGCAUCCUGGCAUUAAGAUAAUAUUUUCUUCACUGGCCCAAAGGUGCAGGUGGG
Molecule: long non-coding RNA, 405 nt
Organism: Epinephelus fuscoguttatus (brown-marbled grouper)
Lineage: Eukaryota; Metazoa; Chordata; Actinopteri; Perciformes; Serranidae
Exons: 3
Source: RefSeq, a predicted model, not a curated record